CGGGUGGUAAUGCCGGAUGCUCCAGUUGGACGCAUGUUCCUCUGGGAAAGCUUCUGCGGUAUGGGAUGGGGUCGCGUCCUAUCAGCUUGAUGGCGGGGUAACGGCCCACCAUGGCUUCGACGGGUAGCCGGCCUGAGAGGGCGACCGGCCACAUUGGGACUGAGAUACGGCCCAGACUCCUACGGGAGGCAGCAGUGGGGAAUAUUGCACAAUGGGCGCAAGCCUGAUGCAGCGACGCCGCGUGCGGGAUGACGGCCUUCGGGUUGUAAACCGCUUUUGACUGGGAGCAAGCCCUUCGGGGUGAGUGUACCUUUCGAAUAAGCACCGGCUAACUACGUGCCAGCAGCCGCGGUAAUACGUAGGGUGCAAGCGUUAUCCGGAAUUAUUGGGCGUAAAGGGCUCGUAGGCGGUUCGUCGCGUCCGGUGUGAAAGUCCAUCGCUUAACGGUGGAUCCGCGCCGGGUACGGGCGGGCUUGAGUGCGGUAGGGGAGACUGGAAUUCCCGGUGUAACGGUGGAAUGUGUAGAUAUCGGAA
Molecule: ribosomal RNA, 534 nt
Filed under: Bifidobacterium adolescentis
Lineage: Bacteria; Bacillati; Actinomycetota; Actinomycetes; Bifidobacteriales; Bifidobacteriaceae
Description: partial 16S ribosomal RNA
Rfam family: Bacterial small subunit ribosomal RNA
Source: RNAcentral